CCUGUUUAUCAAAAACAUGGCCUUUUGAUUUAUGUGUAAUAUAAAAGGUUGGACCUGCCCAGUGGUUUAUCUAAAUGGCUGCAGUGAAUAACUGUACAAAGGUAGCGAAAUCAGUUGUCCUUUAAAUGGGGGAAGGUAUGAAAGGUUUGACGGUAAAGAAGCUGUCUCUUAAAAAUAGUGUGAAGUUUCCGUCUAAGUGAAAAGGCUUAGAUUUUUUAAAAAGACGAGAAGACCCUAUUGAGCUUAAUUAUAUUUUUUUUAUUAAGAAAGUUGAAGUUUUAUUGGGGCAAUAGGAAGCUAUAAGUAAUGCUUCUUUUUAAGGUAAGGAUCCUCCAUGGGAGAAGUAAGCAAAAGUUACCAUAGGGAUAACAGCGUUAUCUUUCUUAAGAGUUCUAAUUGAGGGAAAGGUUUGCGACCUCGAUGUUGGAUUAAGAUGUCUUUUUGGUGCAGCAGCUAAAAAAGUAAGACUGUUCGUCUUUUAAAAUUUUACGUGAUCUGAGUUCAGACG
Molecule: ribosomal RNA, 508 nt
Filed under: Vesicomya lepta
Lineage: Eukaryota; Metazoa; Mollusca; Bivalvia; Venerida; Vesicomyidae
Description: partial 16S ribosomal RNA
Rfam family: Bacterial large subunit ribosomal RNA
Source: RNAcentral